This 118-nucleotide ribosomal RNA is filed under the name Periophthalmus magnuspinnatus. Lineage: Eukaryota; Metazoa; Chordata; Actinopteri; Gobiiformes; Gobiidae. The record is from RNAcentral.
UUCCGUGGCCAUAAUGGUUUGUUAACGCCUGAUCUUGUCUGAUCUCUGAAACUAAGCACGGCUGGGGCUGGUUAGUAUUUGGAUGGGAUAACACUGGGAAUAUCAAGUGCCACAGUCA